GGAAGAGUCGGAUAAUGGUAUUCCAACACCCUGCUAAGGUGUCGCCCUUUAUGGGCUUGCGGGUUCGAAUCCCGCCUCUUCCGCCA
Molecule: transfer RNA, 86 nt
Filed under: Patescibacteria group bacterium
Lineage: Bacteria
Description: tRNA-Ser
Rfam family: tRNA
About the family: Transfer RNA (tRNA) molecules are approximately 80 nucleotides in length. Their secondary structure includes four short double-helical elements and three loops (D, anti-codon, and T loops).
Source: RNAcentral